AAUCCAUUAGAUCAUUAGACCCCUAAGACCCUUGGAAAAUACAGAGCAACGACGCUCCAUAUCUGCUCUCUUUUGAAAUGAAAAAUCCAUCCCAAUUUGCUCUCAGGUCCCUCACAUAAUCCUUUCUCCCUCUCCUUCCUCUCUGAUUUCACUAACAUAUACAUGCAAAAAGCCUUAGCAGCAACUGGAAUUUGAGAUUCCAAAUUUGGCGAAAACUCUCGAAAAACAUAAUCGAAAACCAAAAGAAAAAGAUUUGAAAAGCUAGUCUGAAUUCUGUUGUUUUUUUCAAUAAUUCAUAGUUGCUUGAGCUGAAUUUGGACUUAAAUUGAAGUUGUGCAUGUGUUUGAGUGGAAAACAAAGUUCUAAAAAGAAACAAAAGAAAAAGGGGAAAGUGAAAUUUCAAGGGGAAAAUCUGAAAUCAACUCGAUGGCUAGCGAGUUUUGAGAACCAAACGCUUCCUGGGUUUCUAAAAAUUGCUGAGUUCGAAAAUCUGCUGUUGUUGUAUUCAUGUAGCAGCUGAGCUCCACUCUGUCUCCUUCUUAGCCUUAUUUGGCCUCACAAGUUUGUUUUAAAUACUAGGAUAUCGAGGUGAGAAUCGGGAGCUCAUGUCGUUUCUUAUCGUCUACUCUCCAAAAAACAAGGGGACUAUCUGUGUACGUUAGAAAUCGAGCUCGUAUAUGAUAUGGUAGAUUGGGCUCGGAACAUGAGGUAUUGACUCACACCUUACUUGUCUUUACUUUCAUGUGUCAACUUGUCAGGCAUCCACAUGUCGUUCAUCAAUUUUACCCCAUACAGAUAGUCAGCCUACUUUUCGGUAAUAACACUUCGUGUUACCAGAAAGUAGAUAAGGAUUUUUUUCUUGAUGGAAAAGGUUUUGAAUAGUUUUUGACACUUGAAAGGACGUAUGUCUCCUCGUAUUUAAUGAGUCGAACACGUGUUAUACUAUGAUUUGGUAAAUAUUUUUGUCAGUUUUUAAGGUAACGAUGACCAUGAAUUCUACUUCCUAUAAACUUUUCCACUACUCAUCCUUUUUAUUUUUCACUUUUACAAACUUUUCUUCUUUGAAUCACCCUUAGAGUUUUUCUGUAAAUCUCUCUUUCUUAGUAAAAUUUUCUUAACCAAAUUCUCUAUCACCAUAUCUUUCACUUUUUCUGUCCCCAAAAACUCUGGCCUUCACAUCAGUGGUGGCCCUUCUAAAAAGAAUAAAAUCAAGGAAGCCGAUGCCGGUCCUCCUACUACCAACACAAUUAUCCCAUCCCAAUUAAAUUCUGAAACGGAUCUCCAAGUGCAAAAGAACCUAUCAACCCCAAGAAAUAGAAAUUAUCCUGAUAGUAGAUAUCCUUCUUAUAUUCGCCCUACUAGUAUUCCGAUUAUGAAAGCAGAUUUCGAUUGGAAAACAUUAAAAUCUUAGCCCCAAUAAAGUGGAAGGGGUUACCUUUAACAAACGGGGGUUCAUGUAUAUCUACACGUAUCCUUCCACUUUAAGAAUGUGCCAAAAAAUUAAUCUCAAUAUCUUAGAAUUUUGUCACAAGCCCAUCAAUUUGACGUAUGGUGGCUUGCCUCGGGGUAUUGUGCUCCCAAGACGGAGAAAGCCUCACUCUUGCCCAUUUUAUCAACCUCUACUCCCCAAAGAAUUUUAUCAACCUCUACUCCCCAAAGAAUUUUAUCAACCCUCACCCAUCCACCAAACCUUAUUUACUAGUGUUGAUGAUGAUAAUGAUUGUGGUUGGAUGGAACGGUUCAUUGUCAUUACUACUAGGGACAUCCUUCUAGCAACAACACCUUCUAUCCCAGAAUCUUGGAACUUUGCUCGUAAGUUUUGUAGAUAGGUUUUUUCUAUUGCAUUAAAGAAAAUUCCCUCCUUUACUAACUUUUAUUUCUCUUAUUUAAGCUACCCGUUGGGUUCCAUCAUCGGCUAAGAACCUGACUCAAUGGGUACAAAAUAUUCUAGAUGCCUCUACACCGGAUUCCCAUAAGGGGAAAGAAAUUUCUCCAAAAUUUAAUUGGAAGGCCAAGAAUCAUGAUAAGGAAAAGUUCCUUUUUCCCUUUCUAAUCUUCAACAUGAAUUUGAUGGCUCUUUACUAACUCCCUCCUUCGUAAUACACAGGUCUUACAACUGGGUCUUUUAUUUUCCUGUUCUUGAGGUUUCCCAUGACCCAAUGGUGGCCCAUCAACGGAUGUAAGAAUCCUUAAUCGGAAGAGGGCUCGUGAUGCUGCUUUUGCUUCCGAUAAAGGCCCAUCUUCCCUGAGUCCCCAGUCUAAGGAGAAAAAAUCAAAAUGAAAACGUACCCCCAAAGAUGAGACUUAGGAGAA
This is a long non-coding RNA of Nicotiana tabacum (common tobacco), 2313 nucleotides long. RefSeq lists it as uncharacterized. The record is from RefSeq and is a predicted model, not a curated record. NCBI's taxonomy places the organism in Eukaryota, Viridiplantae, Streptophyta, Magnoliopsida, Solanales, Solanaceae.